This 400-nucleotide ribosomal RNA is filed under the name uncultured bacterium. RNAcentral describes it as "bacterial SSU rRNA". It matches the Rfam family "Bacterial small subunit ribosomal RNA", at positions 356 to 773 of the family's 1533-position model. The record is from RNAcentral.
GGGGAAUAUUGGACAAUGGGGGCAACCCUGAUCCAGCCAUGCCGCGUGAGUGAUGAAGGCCUUAGGGUUGUAAAGCUCUUUUGUCCGGGAAGAUAAUGACUGUACCGGAAGAAUAAGCCCCGGCUAACUUCGUGCCAGCAGCCGCGGUAAUACGAAGGGGGCUAGCGUUGUUCGGAAUCACUGGGCGUAAAGCGCACGUAGGCGGAUCGUUAAGUCAGAGGUGAAAUCCCGGAGCUCAACUUCGGAACUGCCUUUGAUACUGGCGAGCUCGAGUCUGGAAGAGGUUAGUGGAACUGCGAGUGUAGAGGUGAAAUUCGUAGAUAUUCGCAAGAACACCAGUGGCGAAGGCGGCUAACUGGGCCAGUACUGACGCUGAGGUGCGAAAGCGUGGGGAGCAAAC